UAAGUAAGUGGUGGAAAUUAAACCAAAUGGGAUAUCUUUAGUAAUUGCGAAUGAACAAGGAUAUGCUUAGCUUGACAAAUGGAGCUAUUGGCUUUGAAUUGUAUUUGUGGAAUGUAUUACCAACAGAGGUGCAGGUGCCAGCCUAUUAAAUAAAGCGUCAAUGAGGGUGAGAAUCCUGUUUGUCAUGUGCAGCCCUUUGUGCACGGUGUAUAUUUGCUGAGUCACACUCCUUGGCAUUGGAAUGCAAAGUGGGUGGUAAGUUUCAUGUACAGGUAAACAUGCAAUUGAGACUGAUAGCACACAAGUACCAUGAGGGAAAUAUGAAAAGGACUUUGAAAAGAGAAUUAAAUGAGUUUGUAUUUGCUGAACACAAAGUAAACAGACUUGAUUUGCUUGGUGGGAGUGUUGCACUUGCUUGACAAGAGCUUUGGGCUGUGGGUGUAAUGAUUCUUUCUUUGCAUGCCAGUUUCUAUUUGUACACCUGAUUACCUUUGCACAUGAAUGAUAAGUCUCCUGUGGGGGGUGGAUUGCAUGUGCAUGUAACGAUUUGUGUUUUGAUAAAUGUGUCUGGUGUAUGUGUGUGUUCCUGUGCUUGGGGAUGCUUCCUUCCUUGGACUUACAAGCCCUGACACACACAUGCUGGCAAAAUGCUUCUGCUUGACCCG
RNAcentral lists this ribosomal RNA (665 nucleotides) under Alexandrium tamarense. RNAcentral describes it as "eukaryotic LSU rRNA". It matches the Rfam family "Eukaryotic large subunit ribosomal RNA", at positions 43 to 651 of the family's 3401-position model. Lineage: Eukaryota; Dinophyceae; Gonyaulacales; Pyrocystaceae. The record is from RNAcentral.